Molecule: ribosomal RNA, 301 nt
Filed under: uncultured bacterium
Lineage: Bacteria
Description: partial 16S ribosomal RNA
Rfam family: Bacterial small subunit ribosomal RNA
Source: RNAcentral
CAGUCGCCGCGGUAAUACGAGGGGUGCAAGCGUUAAUCGGAAUUACUGGGCGUAAAGCGUGCGUAGGCGGUUUGUUAAGUCUGUUGUGAAAUCCCCGGGCUCAACCUGGGAAUGGCAAUGGAUACUGGCAAGCUAGAGUGUGUCAGAGGAUGGUGGAAUUCCCGGUGUAGCGGUGAAAUGCGUAGAGAUCGGGAGGAACAUCAGUGGCGAAGGCGGCCAUCUGGGACAACACUGACGCUGAGGCACGAAAGCGUGGGGAGCAAACAGGAUUAGAUACCCCGGUAGUCCCUGUCUCUUAUAC